RNAcentral lists this long non-coding RNA (535 nucleotides) under Phasianus colchicus (ring-necked pheasant). RNAcentral describes it as "lncRNA (ENSPCLG00000020036.1)". Lineage: Eukaryota; Metazoa; Chordata; Aves; Galliformes; Phasianidae. The record is from RNAcentral.
CUGAGAUCCUCAGGAAAUCUCAGUUCUGAGAAAACAGGAGGUCUCCAAGCUGCAGUUUGCAGGGCAAAGAAGCUAAUCUGUUUGUAAGCAUGGAGGCUAAAAGAUUUAUGGAGCUAACUGUGUGGAUGGUGAUGAGGACGGAAGAAGCUGCAACACCUUUUGAAGAACCCACAUAGUUGCAGAAAUACUGAAUAAAUGACUCAACAGGCCUGGAAGUUAAUCAUACACCCUUUUUAUCCCAUGCCCAGAAUUGUCUAGAAUGAGCAGAAAACCUCCACUGGAUGGAGAGGAGCCUGAGGGCCUUCUGCCAGGACUACUUGGAUACAUGUAACAUGCAGCCAUUUCUGAUGGCAAGGAUUAUACUCAUGCCUGCAAUCUUACAAAAAAAGAAUAAAUCUUCUGGAUAUAUGAGAAAAUUCCCCUUUUUUCCUUUUCUAUUUUCCAGGAGGAAUGGCCUUCAAAGUUCAGAGGUAUGCUCUCGAACAGAUAGUAAUUAAUGUUUAAUAUGUCUUAUUUGGGAUUGAGGAAAAUGAAA